GAUGAACGCUGGCGGCGUGCCUAAUACAUGCAAGUCGAGCGAACAGACGAGGAACUUGCUCCUCUGACGUUAGCGGCGGACGGGCGAGUAACACGUGGAUAACCUACCUAUAAGACUGGGAUAACUUCGGGAAACCGGAGCUAAUACCGGAUAAUAUAUUGAACCGCAUGGUUCAAUAGUGAAAGAGGGUUUUGCUGUCACUGAUUGAUGGAUCCGCGCCGCAUUAGCUAGUUGGUAAGGUAACGGCUUACCAAGGCAACGAUGCGUAGCCGACCUGGGAGGGUGAUCGGCCACACUGGAACUGAGACACGGUCCAGACUCCUACGGGAGGCAGCAGUAGGGAAUCUUCCGCGAUGGGCGAAAGCCUGACGGAGCAACGCCGCGUGAGUGAUGAAGGUCUUCGGAUCGUAAAACUCUGUUAUUAGGGAAGAACAAAUGUGUAAGUAACUAUGCACGUCUUGACGGUACCUAAUCAGAAAGCCACGGCUAACUACGUG
This 497-nucleotide ribosomal RNA is filed under the name uncultured bacterium. RNAcentral's name for it is "partial 16S ribosomal RNA". It matches the Rfam family "Bacterial small subunit ribosomal RNA", at positions 28 to 507 of the family's 1533-position model. The record is from RNAcentral.